RNAcentral lists this ribosomal RNA (411 nucleotides) under uncultured Gammaproteobacteria bacterium. RNAcentral's name for it is "bacterial SSU rRNA". It matches the Rfam family "Bacterial small subunit ribosomal RNA", at positions 8 to 419 of the family's 1533-position model. Lineage: Bacteria; Pseudomonadati; Pseudomonadota; Gammaproteobacteria. The record is from RNAcentral.
AGAGUUUGAUCAUGGCUCAGAUUGAACGCUGGCGGCGUGCUUAACACAUGCAAGUCGUGCGGUAACAGGCGUAGCAAUACGUGCUGACGAGCGGCGAACGGGUGCGUAAUACAUGGGAAUCAGCCCUUCAGUGGGGAAUAACCCGGCGAAAGCCGGGCUAAUGCCGCAUAAGAUCUCCGGAUGAAAGCGGGGGACCGUAAGGCCUCGCGCUGAUGGAUGAGCCCAUGUCGGAUUAGCUAGUUGGUGAGGUAAUGGCUCACCAAGGCGACGAUCCGUAGCUGGUCUGAGAGGACGGCCAGCCACACUGGGACUGAGACACGGCCCAGACUCCUACGGGAGGCAGCAGUGGGGAAUAUUGGACAGUGGGGGAAACCCUGAUCCAGCGACGCCGCGUGUGUGAAGAAGGCCUGC